This 240-nucleotide ribosomal RNA is filed under the name uncultured bacterium. RNAcentral describes it as "partial 16S ribosomal RNA". It matches the Rfam family "Bacterial small subunit ribosomal RNA", at positions 524 to 764 of the family's 1533-position model. The record is from RNAcentral.
UACGAAGGGGGCUAGCGUUGCUCGGAAUCACUGGGCGUAAAGGGCGCGUAGGCGGCCAUUUAAGUCGGGGGUGAAAGCCUGUGGCUCAACCACAGAAUUGCCUUCGAUACUGGAUGGCUUGAGACCGGAAGAGGUAAGUGGAACUGCGAGUGUAGAGGUGAAAUUCGUAGAUAUUCGCAAGAACACCAGUGGCGAAGGCGGCUCACUGGCCCGAGUAUGACUGCUGAGCUGAAGGCACGG